ACUCAGGAUAGUUCAGCCAGUAGAGCAUGGGACUCUUAAUCUCAGGAUCACGGGUUGGAGCCCCACGCUGGGCA
This is a non-coding RNA of Podarcis lilfordi (Lilford's wall lizard), 74 nucleotides long. The record is from the annotation of a GenBank genome assembly. NCBI's taxonomy places the organism in Eukaryota, Metazoa, Chordata, Lepidosauria, Squamata, Lacertidae.